This 2372-nucleotide long non-coding RNA is filed under the name Pan troglodytes (chimpanzee). Its description in RNAcentral is "long non-coding RNA NONPTRT013055". Lineage: Eukaryota; Metazoa; Chordata; Mammalia; Primates; Hominidae. The record is from RNAcentral.
AGAAAGAUGAAACUACUAAAACUUACAGGUUUUAUUUUUUUCUUGUUUUUUCUGACUGAAUCCCUAACCCUGCCCACACAACCUCGGGAUGUAGAGAACUUCAAUAGUACUCAAAAAUUUAUAGAAGAUAAUAUUGAAUACAUCACCAUCAUUGCAUUUGCUCAGUAUGUUCAGGAAGCAACCUUUGAAGAAAUGGAAAAGCUGGUGAAAGACAUGGUAGAAUACAAAGACAGAUGUAUGGCUGACAAGACGCUCCCAGAGUGUUCAAAAUUACCUAAGGAGCUUGCUGUGUAUUUGCAGUAUGUAUACAGUAUGGCCUAUAUGUUCAGGCAGAAGAGGAAGCCAUAACUUGAAACUGCACAUGAAAUUACAGAGCUAUUUAGGACACUUUGGCUGGAGGAUCACUUGAGCCCAGGAGUUCGAAUCUAGCCUGCACAACAUAUCAAGAUCCCAUUCCAAAGAAGAAGCAGAAAACAAGGAGAAGGAGAAGGAGGAGAAGGAGAAGGAGAAAGAGAAGGAGAAGGAGAAGAGGAAGAGGAAGAGGAAGAAGGAGAAGAAAAAGAAGAGGAAGAAGAAGAAGAAGGGGAGGAGGAGGAGGAAGAGAAGGAGGGGGGAAGGGAAGGGGAAGGGGAAGGGGAAGGAGAGGAGUAGGAGAAAGAGAAGGAGCUCUGUUGGUAAUGGUGGGAAAAUUAGUCAUUGUGUUUUCUCAGUGAGUACAGAAGCUUUACUUUACCAUGACUAAAAAUUGUCCUUUUCUUCUCUGUUGUAUAGAAUAAUGUUUUACAGGAAAAAAUAUGUGCUAUGGAGGGGCUGCCACAAAAGCAUAAUUUCUCACACUGCUGCAGUAAGGUUGAUGCUCAAAGAAGACACUGUUUCUUCUAUAACAAGAAAUCUGAUGUGGGAUUUCUGCCUCCUUUCCCUACCCUGGAUCCCGAAGAGAAAUGCCAGGCUUAUGAAAGUAACAGAGAAUCCCUUUUAAAUCACUUUUUAUAUGAAGUUGCCAGAAGGAACCCAUUUGUCUUCGCCCCUACACUUCUAACUGUUGCUGCUCAUUUUGAGGAGGUGGCCAAAUCAUGUUGUGAAGAACAAAACAAAGUCGACUGCUUUCAAACAAGGGCAAUACCUGUCACACAAUAUUUAAAAGCAUUUUCUUCUUAUCAAAAACAUGUCUGUGGGGCACUUUUGAAAUUUGGAACCAAAGUUGUACACUUUAUAAGAUGUUUCUUCCAACUAUGAUGGAUGCUGUGAAGGGGAUGUUGUGCAGUGCAUCCGUGACACGGUUUACUUUUGAAUACUCAAGGAGACAUCCAGACCUGUCUAUACCAGAGCUUUUAAGAAUUGUUCAAAUAUACAAAGAUCUCCUGAGAAAUUGCUGCAACACAGAAAACCCUCCAGGUUGUUACCGUUACGCGGAAGACAAAUUCAAUGAGACAACUGAGAAAAGCCUCAAGAUGGUACAACAAGAAUGUAAACAUUUCCAGAAUUUGGGGAAGGAUGGUUUGAAAUACCAUUACCUCAUCAGGCUCACGAAGAUAGCUCCCCAACUCUCCACUGAAGAACUGGUGUCUCUUGGCGAGAAAAUGGUGACAGCUUUCACUACUUGCUGCACGCUAAGUGAAGAGUUUGCCUGUGUUGAUAAUUUGACAUGUGUCAAUCUCAGAAUGAGGAGCUUCAGAGGAAGACAGACAGGUUUCUUGUCAACUUAGUGAAGCUGAAGCAUGAACUCACAGAUGAGGAGCUGCAGUCUUUGUUUACAAAUUUUGCAAAUGUAGUGGAUAAGUGCUGCAAAGCAGAGAGUCCUGAAGUCUGCUUUAAUGAAGAGAGUCCAAAAAUUGGCAACUGAAGCCAGCUGCUGGAGAUAUGUAAAGAAAAAAGCACCAAAGGGAAGGCUUCCUAUCUGUGUGGUGAUGAAUCGCAUUUCCUGAGAACAAAAUAAAAGGAUUUUUCUGUAACUGUCACCUGAAAUAAUAUAUUGCAGCAAGCAAUAAACACAACAUUUUGUAAAGUUAUUUUUCAGACCGAUGUCAUAAAUCAACCUAAUCACAAAAUCAAGCAAUCAUGAUUCAUUCAUUCCAUCAGCAUCUUUUGCUCACAUGGCUGCACCAUUCCCUAUCCAUGAAAGAUGGAAGUCUGAAUAGCAGCUGCGUAGGCACAGUGCUCUAAGAUGUCCUUGAAACUACCGGAAAGAAAACUGAGAAUUUUGGGCAUGAAACUUUACUGCUACAACUACUGCUACUACUAGUAGAUGACAUUGAAUGUUUUCAAUGUACCAAACAUUGUUCUAGCUAGUUUUCAUGCAUUAUUUCGUUUAAUCUAAUAACUCUAUGGGUAGGUAUUAUUUUCAUUUACAUUUUACAAACAGGAAAUCUAAG